UUAUUCACAAUUUUAUUUUGCAUUUGACUCAUUUUAUACAUAAAAAAAUGUGAACUAUUCGGAAGAAUAUAAAUUCGAAUUUUGACGAGUGAUUUUUAUCAAAUUUUAUUUAUAUUUAUGGUUUGGUUAAAUUUAGAGGUUAGUGUCGAUUUCAUCUAGUGGAUGGUUGGUUUGAACUCACGUCCUUCAACCUCCUGAUCCUGGGAUUGAAAUGGAGAGUUAAGCCAGAGAUUUAGAGGUUGUUUCUUUUUUCUGUUUCUCAUGCAAAAUUGUUAUGCAGAUCAUUAAGAGGUGAAACAAGAAAUAUGAAUGAUGCAAGAACAAGAACUUUUGGUGCGGUGGUGAGAGUUUCCGGUACGAAGGAAUGGGAAGAACCUACAAGGUUAAUAUUUCAACUCUCAAAUCAUUGAAGUUUUAGAAAUGUAGUUUGAGAAUGAGAAUGAGAUAAUACACAUAUUCAGCGUGUGGUGAGGUUUAUAUGCCUCAUGUGGUUGGAAUUUCCUCGUCUACUCUGACGUGUGACGCGGGAGUCGUUUGAUCGCAUCCAACAACAAGGGAUGUUUGGGGUUAGGAUCAUGUAUUUCGCGUCUCGAGGAAGCUUCAUGUGUCCAUUUGUCUUGCUUGGCAAAGUCCUAGAUUGGACCUUCAUAAUUGGGCAUGUCGCCUCUUUGGCGAAAGAACUUGGUGAAUGUGAGUAGGUAGCCUUGAGAACAUGCACAUUAAAUAUCACUUUCGUUAGUGAAACAUUUUUGUAACAUUAUUCUUAUGUGUGGCUUUGGGUCCCUAGAGUAAGGGCUGGAAAUGUUGUUCACUGUGCUCGAGUGAAUUCGAGUGCCAUUAUGAUCUCAAGGUUGAUAUUCCAUUGUUGAUU
Molecule: long non-coding RNA, 871 nt
Organism: Lathyrus oleraceus (garden pea)
Lineage: Eukaryota; Viridiplantae; Streptophyta; Magnoliopsida; Fabales; Fabaceae
Exons: 2
Source: RefSeq, a predicted model, not a curated record